GGGGAAUUUUCCGCAAUGGGGGAAACCCUGACGCAGCGACGCCGCGUGGAGGAUGACGGCCUUCGGGUUGUAAACUCCUGUCAGAGGUGAAGAAGCCCGCAAGGGUUGACGGUAACCUCAGAGGAAGCCCCGGCCAACUACGUGCCAGCAGCCGCGGUAAUACGUAGGGGGCAAGCGUUGCUCGGAAUUACUGGGCGUAAAGGGUGUGUAGGCGGCUGAGCAAGUCAUGGAUGAAAUCCCGAGGCUUAACCUCGGAACUGUCCUUGAUACUGCUCGGCUUGAGGGCAGUGGAGGAGAAUGGAAUUCCCGGUGGAGCGGUGAAAUGCGUAGAUAUCGGGAGGAACACCUGAGGCGAAGGCGAUUCUCUAUGCUGUUCCUGACGCUGAAACACGAAAGCUAGGGGAGCGAAAGGGAUUAGAUACCCCUGUAGUC
RNAcentral lists this ribosomal RNA (432 nucleotides) under uncultured bacterium. Its description in RNAcentral is "SSU rRNA". It matches the Rfam family "Bacterial small subunit ribosomal RNA", at positions 356 to 795 of the family's 1533-position model. The record is from RNAcentral.